Molecule: RNA transcript, 910 nt
Organism: Ricinus communis (castor bean)
Lineage: Eukaryota; Viridiplantae; Streptophyta; Magnoliopsida; Malpighiales; Euphorbiaceae
Exons: 5
Source: RefSeq, a predicted model, not a curated record
CAAUUGCUUUUCCUUUAAGCAGUUGUUGUAUGUGUUCUCUGUUUCUCACUGUUUCUUUUCGUUGAGCAUGAAAAUGGAGAAGCGAGCGGCUUUAGGAGUAAAAAAGAGAAAGAAACCCAUCAAAACAAACAGGAAAACAUUGCUAAAGAAAGUUGUGGAUUAUCUAAAAUCUGAUUCUUACUUGUUUGCUCCUUUGAUAUCAUCAUCUCCACGAACUGAUCAGUUUCUAGCAUCAAAGAUUGUCUCUUCUACUUCUUCGUCUACUACUACAAGUGCAGUGGAAAUGAAGGAGAAUAUGAAAGGGAAGAAGAAGAGGUUUGCAGAGAAAGUUGGGGAUUAUCUGAAAUCAGAUGGUUAUUUAUAUGCUCCUGUGUUUGCUCCUAAAUUAGUAAUUUUCCCUAAAGGUGUUGGCAAGUACAGUACACGGGUUAAUGCGGGCUCUAUGAGGAAAUUAAUUAACGGGGAGAAUCGAUCCACUGUUAAGACGUCAAAUGUAACAGUAGAGGAGGACCGAUUUACCCAGGGCGAUCUCCCUGAAAGUAGCAUUCCAGGUCAACAAAAGUUGGUGCACAGGGAAACAGUGAAGCACAUGGUGUACCAAAGUUGUCGCUCAUCUUCUGUGUCAGGAUACCAUAAUUAACAUUUGGUGUGCAAACCUUAUUGGAAAAGUAUGUAGGACAGUAUUAAUUAUUAGAGGGAAAGGAAUGCUUGAUUCACAGCUAAGAAAGAUUCUCUCAUUGAGUAGACAAUGAAGAAGUUGGGCAAGUAGACAGAAGCAUCCUUAUGCUUGGAGAGAGUGAUAAAUUUUUACUGGUUGUAUUUUCCAUUUCUGUUGUUGUGUGCACAUGUUUAUGGUUUCAUAUAUGUUUUACUUGGGAGUGGUAGCUGUAAAUGAAUUUGGCGUUGGAUA